Non-coding RNA from Euryarchaeota archaeon RBG_13_57_23, 74 nucleotides. The record is from Rfam. NCBI's taxonomy places the organism in Archaea, Methanobacteriati, Methanobacteriota.
GGGGUAGUGGUCUAGCUUGGUAUGAUACGUGCUUUGGGAGCAUGAGGUCAUCGGUUCAAAUCCGAUCUACCCCA